CAGGUGGGCCGGGCGACCGCGCGGCGUCGUCGUUCGCGACGGCGCCUCGAGGAAAGUCCGGGCUCCGCAGAGCAGGACGGUGGGUAACACCCACUCGGGGAAACCCGCAGGACAGUGCCACAGAAAACAGACCGCCCGCCACGAGCGGGUCAGGGUGAAAAGGUGGUGUAAGAGACCACCAGCGCGCCGGGUGACCGGUGCGGCUCGGUAAACCCCGUCCGGAGCAAGGCCAUGCAG
This 237-nucleotide RNase P RNA is filed under the name Mycobacterium tuberculosis. RNAcentral's name for it is "partial RNase P RNA component class A". It matches the Rfam family "Bacterial RNase P class A", at positions 1 to 235 of the family's 367-position model. Rfam says of the family: Ribonuclease P (RNase P) is a ubiquitous endoribonuclease, found in archaea, bacteria and eukarya as well as chloroplasts and mitochondria. Its best characterised activity is the generation of mature 5'-ends of tRNAs by cleaving the 5'-leader elements of precursor-tRNAs. Cellular RNase Ps are ribonucleoproteins. Lineage: Bacteria; Bacillati; Actinomycetota; Actinomycetes; Mycobacteriales; Mycobacteriaceae. The record is from RNAcentral.